UAGUCCACGCCGUAAACGAUGGACACUUGGUGUUGGAGGUAUUGACCCCUUCAGUGGCGAAGCUAACGCGCUAAGUUAUCCGCCUGGGGAGUACGGCCGCAAGGUUAAAACUCAAAUGAAUUGACGGGGCCCGCACAAGCGGUGGAGCAUGUGGUUUAAUUCGAUGCAACGCGAAGAACCUUACCAUCCUUUGACAUCCUUGGAAUUCUGUAGAGAUACGGAAGUGCCGCAAGGAACCAAGUGACAGGUGCUGCAUGGCUGUCGUCAGCUCGUGUCGUGAGAUGUUGGGUUAAGUCCCGCAACGAGCGCAACCCUUAUCCUUAGUUGCCAUCAUUAAGUCGGGGACUCUAGGGAGACUGCCGGUGACAAGCCGGAGGAAGGUGGGGACGAGGGUCAAGUCAUCAUGGGCCCUUUUGGGGAUGGGGCUACACACGUGCUAC
Molecule: ribosomal RNA, 440 nt
Filed under: uncultured bacterium
Lineage: Bacteria
Description: bacterial SSU rRNA
Rfam family: Bacterial small subunit ribosomal RNA
Source: RNAcentral